UUAAAAUACGAUUUAAUAUCCGCAUUCUUUUGGAGGGUUUUCUUCUUUUUUCAAUCCUCUCUUGGUCCCCAGGUCAACCAGCCAUCCGCCAUCGCAGUGCGCCGAUAAUAGAUUUAUGUUUGUGAAACAAAAUUGGUACAAAGCGACAGAGUAAAGAUGGUGCCUAAUGGGACUUCAGAGAUCCAACAAGUUGAACAAACCAGCAAGGCAGAUUCAUCAAGGAAAGCAAAGGAAAUU
Molecule: non-coding RNA, 237 nt
Organism: Camellia sinensis
Lineage: Eukaryota; Viridiplantae; Streptophyta; Magnoliopsida; Ericales; Theaceae
Source: RefSeq, a predicted model, not a curated record